GACGAACGCUGGCGGCGUGCUUAACACAUGCAAGUCGAACGGAAAGGCCCUGCUUUUGUGGGGUGCUCGAGUGGCGAACGAGUGAGUAACAAGUGAGUAACCUGCCCUUGACUUUGGGAUAACUUCAGGAAACUGGGGCUAAUACCGGAUAGGAGCUCCUACUGCCUGGUGGGGGUUGGAAAGUUUCGGCGGUUGGGGAUGGUCUCGCGGCUUAUCAGCUUGUUGGUGGGGUAGUGGCUUACCAAGGCUUUGACGGGUAGCCGGCCUUAGAGGGUGACCGGCCACAUUGGGACUGAGAGAGGGCCCAGACUCCUACGGGAGGCAGCAGUGGGGAAUAUUGCACAAUGGGCGGAAGCCUGAUGCAGCAACGUCGCGUUCGGGAUGACGGCCUUCGGGGGGUAAACCGCUUUCGCAGGUGACGAAGCGUGAGUGACGGUAAUGGGUAAAGAAGCACCGGCUAACUACGUG
RNAcentral lists this ribosomal RNA (468 nucleotides) under uncultured bacterium. RNAcentral describes it as "partial 16S ribosomal RNA". It matches the Rfam family "Bacterial small subunit ribosomal RNA", at positions 28 to 507 of the family's 1533-position model. The record is from RNAcentral.